GGCUGCAGGGAGAAUAAACAGCAACAGAGAGAGAACCUGGCCAGAUGAAAAAAGAUCCCUCAGAAACUUCUGAUUCAGCCGGGACCAACAACACCUUAAACCCUCUGUUUAUCCUCCAGAGAUGAAACAUUAUCACUUAUUCCAGGGCAGCCAGGGGAAGGCAGAGGAGCUUGCACAGAAGAAACCGGCCAGAGAAACCAACGCUCAAGGCCAGCUUCUCCUUGCCCACUUCCCCAGAGCUCCACUUGUAGGCACAAGUCACAGCAGCCACCCAGCUUCGCUGACUCCACCUCAGCCCCACCGGGACGCAGAGGAAGCGGCCAAACCCAGAAGAGGGGCUGCAGCCUCACCCUACUCCGGCUCCCACGCAAGCCCUAAGGACACCAGCUACACCUGAGGCUCUGCUUACCGACCUCCUUCCUCACCCACAGCCCCAGCGCGUUCCGACGGCCAAGGAACUGCGUCCUUCCUGUGCAGGAAGGCACCACACUAAAAUAAAAGCUCGCGAUCAAGUAACCUUUCCAUUUUAGAUACUGCUGGGAUUUGUCAGGAUCACAAGGUAAUUUUUAAGGAUAUUCUCACUGAUACUUUGUGAGCGCAGAGGUGAAAGUGUCAAAAAAGCGGAUAAAGUGGCUAUUGCUGGAAACCUGCAGUAAUUUGUUCCACCAGUGAAGUUUAUUUCACUGGAAAGUUUGUGUGUCUCUGAAUAUCCCAAUAUAAGUAUCGUAUUGUUAUGACAUUACUUUGUUGUCAAGUAUAGAGCCUGUUAAGGACAUGAGACAGUCACCUGAUAAUACUGCUGCAUUUGAGAGAAUUUUCUCUAUUGAGCUGAAUGCUUCUAUGUUACUUUACACAGCAUUCUUCUUUAGAAAAGAUAUUACUUGUGGUUGAUAUCCUAAUAUGGUCUACAAAUAGACUCUCUUUUUUUUUUCUUGUUAAAUUGAUAAGAGUAUGAUAUGUUUUACAUUAGAGGAUUAAGCAAGGUAAUUUCAAAAUAAGCAUACAUUAUAUCCCAUAAUGUUCUGGUAACUCUAUUAUAUUUUAUCUUUUCAGUGAACAGCAACGUAUACUUAGGAUCUGUCAAAAUAGUCAGAGAUUAACUUUUUAUAAAAGACUAUUUGAUAGAAGUUAUUAUGUCAGUAGUAACAAUUUGCUGAUCAACAGAUUAAUAGGUUAAUUAAUAUUCAACCAGA
This is a long non-coding RNA of Pezoporus flaviventris, 1193 nucleotides long. RefSeq lists it as uncharacterized. The transcript has 3 exons. The record is from RefSeq and is a predicted model, not a curated record. Lineage: Eukaryota; Metazoa; Chordata; Aves; Psittaciformes; Psittacidae.